RNAcentral lists this ribosomal RNA (254 nucleotides) under uncultured bacterium. RNAcentral describes it as "partial 16S ribosomal RNA". It matches the Rfam family "Bacterial small subunit ribosomal RNA", at positions 526 to 779 of the family's 1533-position model. The record is from RNAcentral.
CGGAGGGUGCAAGCGUUGUCCGGAUUUAUUGGGUUUAAAGGGUGCGUAGGUGGUAUUGUAAGUCUGGUUUGAAAGCUGGUCGCUUAACGAUCAGAUGUGGCUGGAAACUGCGGUACUUGAAUGGAUUGGCGGUAGCCGGAAUGGGUCAUGUAGCGGUGAAAUGCAUAGAUAUGACCCGGAACACCGAUUGCGAAGGCAGGCUACUACGAUUUGAUUGACACUGAGGCACGAGAGCAUGGGUAGCGAACAGGAUU